UUGUUUAAGUCAGUUUUCUACGUCUACACGGGCCCUCCUUCUUAAGGUGGAGUUGGAGACAGGUAGAGUCUUUCUAUUCAUUUUAUCUAAAAAUAAAAAUUUUAGAAACACAUUUUUGUUAUUAUUCUGAGACCAGACAGGAUUUUAAAGCAGGCAAACAAGCCUCAACCUAGACCACAGGACAAAACAUUGAAAUGACAGAACUUACACAUUAUAACAGAGAAGAAGCUGUUAUAGCCACUUAUACUGGCAAUAACAGCUAUUUUUUUUAAAUGAAGAAUAUAUUAUAACAGUCAAAGCUUAACGUCCAUUACAGUUGCUUUUUAAGUACAGAUGUGCGUGUGCAAGAUUUCUGAUAGCAUAUUACAAGCUCAGGUUUCCCUCCCCUUGUAACACACACAUAAUAUUUCUGGCAGAAAUUAUUUGCAGUUUUAGAAAAAGUGUCUAAAUGAACUCUAAGAUUGAAUUUUGGCUUACUUCAGUGAGGUAGCAGACAAGGUGGAGGGGGGAAGGCAGGCUGAAUUGAUCUGUAACAGAAGACAUAAAUAAAAUUAAUGAUUAUAAUGAUGAAACUACAGAAAAUCUUUCUUUUUGUGGCAUGUUGGAUAUUAAACUUUGGUAAUUUAAAGUAUUUUAAUUGUAUCAAUAGGGACUUUCAGUAAGUCAGAGUCCAAAUAUGCAUUGUGGAAAAGUUUAAGGUCAAGCAAAGACAAUAAAUAGGGUUCAUACACUUUCAACGCACAGGAGUUGUUGAAUUUACUCGCGAGAAGUUAAUACCUACGCUUGGGGAAUUUGCAAGGAUUGUUUUCUUCUGACUUAAUUAUAAUUCCAUACUGGUCUUAUCCAUUACUGGAAUUUGCGGUUUUCUAGCCAACCAGCCAACAAUAAUUAAAGCCCCACUCUGGCCGGUUAAAAAAAUGUGUAAUUGACACCGAAUUGUCUUGGAGUGGCCACAGGAGGCGGUGUGUGUGGUGGAGAGGAGGUGAAGGACCAGCAAAAGGGAAUUAGGUUUUAUGGCCCUCACCUGCUUUCUGUUGGCAUGCGUUGCCUCAUUUUCGUUUGUUUGGUGUGGCGUGGUGUCCGGUUUCCCCGUGGCUUCUUUUUCCUUGUUGGAUGUUUGCUUGGUGAGUUGUCGGUUUGAAUUUUUAUCUUCGUUUCUUCUGAAUUGUAUGGAUCGUAUUUAAGGAUUUUUAUUGUUUAUUAUUAGUCUUAAGGUGACGGGCAGCCUUAUAGAUGAUCCGUAAUAUAGCACCCCUCGGUGACGGAACGAGUUUUCACGGUGCACAAUGAAGUGGAAAUAAAGAGUUGAAGCACCUGUCGAGACUCCCGUUUAUCGACCCAGGGGCAGCUACAGUGAAAACUCGUCCAUCGGAAGAGUAAGGCUUCAGCUAAGAAAAUCAACGUUAUUGCACAAGUAUUUGAUAACGGCGGUCUGGCCCAGUGUACGCCCCUUUCGCGCACCGGCGAGCUCAGCCAAUGGACGGUAUUUGUUACGCUUCUAGUUCAAGCGAACUGGGUAGCGAUACAUAAGAGACUGGUGAUAAAGCCUAUGAUUAAGUGCUUAAUGUUUAGGGUUUGAAUGUGUUUUAUAAUGUAUUCCUUUUCUCCUUUUUGGGGUUGAAGGGUAAAGUUAUAUUGAUUAAAAUAUUUGUAGUUUA
Long non-coding RNA from Archocentrus centrarchus (flier cichlid), 1658 nucleotides. RefSeq lists it as uncharacterized. The record is from RefSeq and is a predicted model, not a curated record. The transcript has 2 exons. NCBI's taxonomy places the organism in Eukaryota, Metazoa, Chordata, Actinopteri, Cichliformes, Cichlidae.